Strigops habroptila (Kakapo) is the source of this 2493-nucleotide long non-coding RNA. The record is from Ensembl. NCBI's taxonomy places the organism in Eukaryota, Metazoa, Chordata, Aves, Psittaciformes, Psittacidae.
UGCGAAGCGCCCGUCCGGCUAGCUGCAGCCCGCAGCCGGGUCCCCUCGGGGGUACUCCCCCCAGAAGCCGGGCGGGAGCUGCCGCGGCGAGGUCCAGAGGGGGGACGAGCAUCAGGCUCCGCGCACGUCCACGGGUGGGCUGGGUUCUGGAUGCUGCAAGGCUGUCAGGAUGCUGCAAAAGACAUUGUUGCAUCUUCUUACCGCAGAGUUGGAGAAGUUUCUCUGUGUGCAGGGAAUACAACAUGUAUGGACAGGAAACUGGUUUCCUUGGUUUGUGGUUUUCUUGUUGCUGUUCUUUUUUAAGGGAUUAACACUCUUAGUUUCAGGAAACUGAAACUAGAUUUGAACAGGGAUUGGAGGGAGGAGGCAGGGUGAAUCCCAUGCAAGAGUCAAAUUUGUCUUGUUUCUGGGAGAACUAAAUAAAGCUGAAUUCAAUUGCCAGUGGCUAAAUAACAGCAAUUUAUGAACUGUUCAUCAAAAGCCCCAGUCAAGCACUGAGUACUGUGAGAAGCUGGAAAUUGACGCUGGGCACCUCCAAAAGACUCCGUUGCUGAAACUUAUUUUAAACCUUUUUCAAGUGGAGGAUCUAGUCCUGGCAAAUGCAUAAAGUCAGCCCUUUUAAGAGCAAAUAGCUUUCUCUAGAGAAUCUAACAAGCAGCUAAAGUCUGUCCGUUUGUCUGCCUGUCUUUUGGCCUUGGAUUACUGUGCUAUUUCAAAGUGUGUUUUCAUAACUCAUAAGUGGUAGAUGUUUCACAUAGCUCUACAAGUAGUAAUCAUGUUUGUGCGUAAUAUCCAAUAUCUAAGGGAUGGGCCCAAACCAGAAGUAUUUCUUGUUUACCUAUGAAGUGUCCUGCUUUAGCGUAUGUACAGUCAGUUCUUGUGGUGAACAUGUGAGUCCAUUGCUGCUCUAAAGGAGGUAGUGACUUAGUUUCAGUGGCUGUAGAGAGUUUCACUGAAAUAGCACUAUUUGUAGUCUUUCAUGUGAUUUAGAAGGCACAAUAGCAAGACAGUUCUGAAAAUGUAAUAUAAUUGUUUGCAGAGUUCUAAGAAAAUGCUCUGAAGUCUUCUCCCAUUGUACCAUUGUGAUAAAAAACUGUUGCUUUUCAAGCUCCACAAGUCCAUGCUGUGUAGUGCUGAAACUGAUAGAAAACCCAAUUAGCACUGGAAAGUGAAGGGCAGAGUGGGCUACUCUGGCCUGGAAUCCCCUCCCUUUGGCAGUAGGAAAGGUCAGUCAUGCAGCCAAAUGCCUGUAACCAAACAUGGAUCCACCCUGUGUGUGUUGCCAGCUCUCUGCAUAGGAGAGUGGAAGGAUGGGUAGAAAGAAUGGAUUCUGGAAGGGGAGAGGCUGAGAGGAAGAGUGGAGUAAAAGAUACCCUGAGCAUGACAGCUGGGAUUUUCGGAAGGUACUCUGCUGGAUGCUGGGCAUCCAACUUCCCUAAGACUCUCUAUCAAUACACUCUCUACAUUUUCAUGAAUGGCUUUUGGCCUGUUUGUCAAUCCUCACAGUCAUUGUGUGAGGGAGAAGAGAUAGAAGGCAGCUCACUCUAAUUUGGCAGCUCUUGGCACCUGGAACAGUCUAGGACUGUAAUAUCUCCUCGUGGCUGUUGGCUGAGGGUCUGAUCCUCUGAUGAGCUGUGACUUCCUUACUACCAGUGACUCAAAACAGGUUUAUAGGACUGGGCUUACAGAAGGCCUAAGGUGCCAGAUCCAAAGAUGUUUUUGGAGCAGGUCUGCUUAGUAGUCCUCAGUAUGGAUAUGAGCACACAGUUCUUUGGAGGCAACAUUCACUCCACAUUCAUAUUGUUUGGGACUUUUCAGAGUGUAAGAUGCCUUUAGUAAGGUGUGAAUAUACUGCAGAAGUCUGUGGGUACCUUUCAGAUAUAUGGCAGGCAGGUCAGAGACUUUAGACCAUACUGUGUGCCAGCACAAACAGCAGGGAUGUUAGUUACAGGAUAGCUUUGCUUUUGCUGUGAAACCUUGCUGAAACGAUGCAUUAUCUCAAGGAAGACAGUUGGGAUUUGCAGGCCAGAUCAUGUGAAUAAAGAAUUGCAUAUCCCCUAUUGAAACUAGUCUGAUUUAUACAGGUAUGGUCCAAAAUUUCUGAGAAAUUGUGGAUGGUAGGGGUUUUUGUUUGUUUGUUGCACCGAAAACUUGAAGCCUUUCAAAUAAAGUAUGUGAGAUAAACAGAUGGAGCAUGUGCUUUAGGCUGUUUGCUGGAUUCAGACUUUGAGCAUACAAGUGCUUUGUAGACAAUACUACACAGUAGUAGAAGAGGUUAUUGGGCUUGGAAGUUGACCAAGGAGACAGGACUCAGCUGAGCUUUGAACAGCAAUCAUUGUCCGUUUUGGUGAUGCCAUAAUAUGUGCUUGACUCGAACCCAAUGUUGCACAGGCCAGAACGUGAUGAAACCACGUAACUAGAUAUUUGUGAUUGUUCCUACCAGUGUGAUCCACUGUUAAAUAGGCUAGACAUAUGAAUAAAAUCAAUAUUUUU